Molecule: ribosomal RNA, 314 nt
Filed under: uncultured eukaryote
Lineage: Eukaryota
Description: partial 18S ribosomal RNA
Rfam family: Eukaryotic small subunit ribosomal RNA
Source: RNAcentral
CCCUUAGAUGUUCUGGGCUGCACGCGCGCUACACUGACACUAUCAACGAGUGCUCCUGGUUUGAAAGGAUCGGGUAAUCUUUUGAAAUGGUGUCGUGAUGGGGAUAGAUCAUUGCAAUUAUUGAUCUUGAACGAGGAAUUCCUAGUAAAUGUGAGUCAUCAGCUCACGUUGAUUACGUCCCUGCCCUUUGUGCACACCGCCCGUCGCUCCUACCGAUUGAGUGAACCGAUGAGUAGUCCGGAUUGCGAUCGACCUCGGUUAAUCGCGAGAAGUUCCGCAAAUCACUUCACUUAGAGGAAGGAGAAGUCGUAACA